GACGAAACAAUGAGCGCUAUCAUCGCCCGCCGCCACCACCAGAGACAUCUUCCACCUGCCCCCCCUUCCUCCCCUACCCCGCGCGAUCUGAUGCAAGGAGGAUCGACGACCGUCCUACGAUCCAGCGGCGGUUGCGUGAAAUCUCGCUGGGACGAACCCGAUUAGCCUCGUCCCAGUCGCCGCCAGAAAAGGUUGUUCUACAGGCGCCGACGUGAGCAUGCCCAUCGGCCUCCCUCCUCCCCUACCCCCGCACGAUCUGACGCCAAGGAGGACGACCGUCCUAUGUUCCAGUCGCAGUUGCGCGGAAUCUCACUGGGACGAAUGCACCCGGCCUCGUUCGAGUCCGAGUCGCUGUUGCUAUUCUCCACACGCCGAGACCGAGUCCAGCACCGCUGAUGCAGCGUGUUGUGUGUUGCCGACCGCCCACACUGGUCCACACGACCACAGCCAACCAUCAGGGUAUGAUGUAGUAAUUUUGUCUGAUAAUGAAUUAUCUUUCUGACCAACAUUGUGGUUAAACCUAAUAUUUAGUUUGUCCAUACACUAAAAUUGUUUUUCAAUCAUCUAUCCAAGAGAAUCCAUGACUGAUGUUAGUUUUAAAUUUGUUUUAUAUUUGGUCUCUUUGACUUGCCCUACAAGUAUGAUGCAAUAUCGCCAGUGAGAACCUCAACUGGCAGGAUAAGAUGAACGAGCAUAACAAUCCAUUCUUUGAUAUGUGUGAAAGCCGUUCAUUGACACGUCUGAUGACAUAUUUGUCAAUUAUAGCAGGAAGCUGAUGAUGUUGAAGCUGUAGCUAAUGGUUCCACCGAGGAAACCAACACAAGCAAGUAACUAAAUGCAGUUGCAACACAAGGUGGUGCUUACGGCAGCGGCAUGGUGACGACAGGAUAUCGAGUGGGCAAAGGUCGCCGUGAGAAGGAUGGGACAACUAUAGGCGUGUUGCUACAGAUUUCGAGCAGCCCCAACAGCUCCGCCUACGAAAUCAUCUUACUAGCUAAAGUAGGCAAUUCCAGAAUUAAUCGUUUUCUCACAAUGCGACCAGACGGUUGUAGUGCAUGAUAACUCUAGUUUUGUAUUGAUCGACUGACACCCAAUUGCCGCCACAGAAGGGAGCCUCACAAGAAGGGAGCUUGCAACGGAAUUUUCCAUGGCAUCCAGUGUUUGGAGAGGCGAGAUGGGGAGCCAUGCGGCUAAUCGAUAUUCAUCUUGCAUGACGUAUCAAUCUCGUUGAGACGCGCAAGGGGAUCAAACAAUAUUGAGAUCCCUGUCUCCACACGAACUUAGUCGAUGCACAUUUGUAUGUCCCGAUACUUCCCAUGCCGACACAUCUAACAAUGUUCUAAGGUCUAC
Molecule: long non-coding RNA, 1350 nt
Organism: Triticum aestivum (bread wheat)
Lineage: Eukaryota; Viridiplantae; Streptophyta; Magnoliopsida; Poales; Poaceae
Exons: 3
Source: RefSeq, a predicted model, not a curated record